RNAcentral lists this small RNA (571 nucleotides) under Pan troglodytes (chimpanzee). Its description in RNAcentral is "processed transcript". The record is from RNAcentral. Lineage: Eukaryota; Metazoa; Chordata; Mammalia; Primates; Hominidae.
AGUACAGGAGGGAGAGAGGAGGGGGUUGGGUGCCAGUGUGCGCCCCACUCACAGUGUCCUAAGCAAAGCUCCCCCCAUUCCUCCAACCAGCCUUCCUCCCUGUGACAGGCAGUGGCCAUCUGCCUCUUAGUCACAGUCAGGCCCCACCAUGGACAUGCCAGUUCCCUCCAGCUUCAAUGACAUCAGCCAGGACUGGCGUCUGCGGCAUUUUGUCGGCUGGGUGUGGUACGAACGGGAGGUGAUCCUGCCGGAGCGAUGGACCCAGGACCUGCGCACAAGAGUGGUGCUGAGGAUUGGCAGUGCCCAUUCCUAUGCCAUCGUGUGGGUGAAUGGGGUCGACACGCUAGAGCAUGAGGGGGGCUACCUCCCCUUCGAGGCCGACAUCAGCAACCUGGUCCAGGUGGGGCCCCUGCCCUCCCGGCUCCGAAUCACUAUCGCCAUCAACAACACACUCACCCCCACCACCCUGCCACCAGGGACCAUCCAAUACCUGACUGACACCUCCAAGUAUCCCAAGGGUUACUUUGUCCAGAACACAUAUUUUGACUUUUUCAACUACGCGGGACUGCAG